Molecule: ribosomal RNA, 1524 nt
Filed under: Triticum aestivum (bread wheat)
Lineage: Eukaryota; Viridiplantae; Streptophyta; Magnoliopsida; Poales; Poaceae
Description: partial small subunit ribosomal RNA
Source: RNAcentral
AUGGCGGUCGGCGGCGACGACGACAUGGAGCGGGACUUCGCCGCUAGGCUGCGCCUCGCGCCCUCCAACCCCUCCUCAGCCUCCGCCUCCGCCUCGGCCUCCCCCACGGCGGCCUCCCCUACUGCGGGCGGCGGCGGGAUCGCCUUCCGCGCGCCGCAGGAGCAGUUCACCGCCGGCGACUUCGAGCUCGGCAAGAUCUACGGCGUCGGCUCCUACUCCAAGGUGGUGAGGGCCAGGAAGAAGGACACGGGCAACGUCUACGCGCUCAAGAUCAUGGACAAGAAGUUCAUCACCAAGGAGAACAAGAUCUCCUACGUCAAGAUGGAGCGCAUCGUGCUCGACCAGCUGGAUCACCCGGGCGUCAUCAGGCUCUUCUUCACCUUCCAGGACACCUACUCCCUCUACAUGGCACUGGAGUCCUGCGAAGGCGGGGAGUUGUUCGACCAAAUCGUACGGAAAGGCCGCCUGUCUGAGGACGAGGCGCGGUUUUAUGCCGCUGAAAUUGUUGACAUUCUGGAGUAUUUGCAUAGCGUAGGCCUAAUUCAUCGGGAUGUGAAGCCAGAAAAUUUACUCCUUACUUCUGAUGGACACAUCAAGAUUGCUGAUUUUGGUAGCGUGAAGCCUACUGUGGACACUCCAAUCAAAGUCCUCCCAAAUUCAACUAAUGAGAGGGCCUGCACAUUUGUUGGAACAGCUGCAUAUGUACCACCAGAGGUCCUGAACUCUGCCCCAGCAACUUUUGGAAAUGACUUGUGGGCAUUGGGGUGCACGUUGUUUCAAAUGCUUUCUGGCUCUUCGCCAUUUAAGGAUGCCAGUGAGUGGUUGAUUUUCCAGCGAAUUAUUGCUAGGGAUCUCAGAUUUCCUGAGUUCUUUUCGGAUGAAGCAAGAGAUCUCAUUGACAAGUUGCUGGAUGUUGAUCCAACCAAACGACCAGGUGCAGGACCUGAUGGUUAUGCUUCCUUGAAGAAGCAUCCUUUCUUCAGAGGUAUUGACUGGAAAAAUAUAAGGAAGACGCGCGCACCAAAGCCCGCUGUGGAGGCAAAUGCAAAUGAGGAUGAGGAUAAUCAGGAUUCAGAUUGGCUGUCACACAUGGGAAGUGCACAUGUCAACCGAAAUGUCCCUGUUGGGAAUAAUGGUGCUGCGUCAUCUUCUGAAGUACGGUCCCAUGUAUCUAAAUUAGCUUCCAUCGACUCCUUCGACUCUAGAUGGCAGGAUUUCCUGGAGCCUGGUGAAUCUGUAGUGUUGAUAUCUAAGCUGAAGAAGAUUAAUAAGCUAUCAAAUAAGAAGGUCCAGCUGAUCCUCACCAACAAACCUCAGUUGAUCUGUGUUGACCCUGCAAAAAUGGUGACCAAGGGGAAUAUUAGUUGGUCUGCUAAUCCAAGUGAACUCAAUGUACAAGUAGGCAACUCCUCGCAUUUCAGGAUCUGCACGCCAAAAAAGGUGUUUGUAUUUGAGGAUGCAAAACAGCGUGCCUGGCAAUGGAAGAAUGCAAUUGAAGAUCUCCAGAACUGCCAAAAGAUAUGA